UAAGUGUUAGAAAAUUACACGUUCCUUUCCCAAGUCAUGCUGUGUGACUAAUGACUUCUCUUAUAUAGUCUUGUUUUCACUGGCUACUGUAAAGCCUUCGAUGUUUCUAAUAUUUUCUAUGUAUCUAGCUGCUGUGCAACAGGUACACAGAGCGUAACUGGGCAGUCUUGUGCUGGCCAUGGUGGUGUCCAUGAUGUGUGUGUAAUUUACAAAAGGGGCACUGAGCUCUGAAUAAUCACUGUUUCUUCUUCCAGUUGUUCUUCCCUUUUUUCCUGUACCCCUUCUCUUUCUAUAUUUUCCUUAAAGAAAUGCCCAUGUUACCAUAUGUACAAAUUCACCCUGUUAAUUUUGCCACGUUUCCCUGACUUUUUAAACAUUUGUUGAGCUUUGCCACCAGAAGAUUCCACAGCAUCAUUCCUCAGCGAGAAGCUGAGCUACUGCAGAAGAGGAAGCAGAGUCAAGGCAUUCUGGAGCUCCAGUGAGGAGAGCUUCACUGUAGGACAGAGACGGAAUCUUGUUCCCUAGAAAUGCAUACCAAAGAGCCAUAGUAAAGCUGCUCAAAGUGAUUUGUGUGCCAGGAUUCAGAAUCUCAUCUGUGCCGAGCCAGUUUAUCACACUGACUCAUGUGGUUGGCGUAGUGGUGCUGGAUGUGGACUCAGAACUGUCAAGUCCUGGAUUCAAGUGUGGGUUUCCAUCUCAUCUGUUGUUUCGCCUUCUACAAAGUUAAAAGAAUCAUUACCUCCCAGUGUGAUGCAAGGUGCUUCCACUGGCUGAACUUAACAAGAAAUGGACAAGCAAAGCAAUGC
Molecule: long non-coding RNA, 806 nt
Organism: Mirounga angustirostris (Northern elephant seal)
Lineage: Eukaryota; Metazoa; Chordata; Mammalia; Carnivora; Phocidae
Exons: 4
Source: RefSeq, a predicted model, not a curated record